CAAAGGUACCAUGUCUCUGUAUAUAGGGUAAGGCUGUCUAAGAAGGUGCUCUCUUUCCUGGUCUCUCGAGUAUGGGUCUAGAGUAGACGACAUAUGAAGAGAGGGAGGCAAGUUUAUUCCCUCUCCUGAAAGGCCAUAAGUUCUUCUCUCUCCUGAAAGGCCAUAAGUUCGAUAAUCCUUUUCACUCAUAAAUAAAUCACGUGGAAUCUCAUCUCUUUGUGUAGAGCCCACCUCCCUGUACUCAACACGUCGAUCCCUUACAUCAGAGAGCACAGGAUAACUU
Molecule: long non-coding RNA, 283 nt
Filed under: Populus trichocarpa (black cottonwood)
Lineage: Eukaryota; Viridiplantae; Streptophyta; Magnoliopsida; Malpighiales; Salicaceae
Description: long non-coding RNA (PTRI_LNC003014)
Source: RNAcentral